Molecule: ribosomal RNA, 424 nt
Filed under: Verrucomicrobiota bacterium
Lineage: Bacteria; Pseudomonadati; Verrucomicrobiota
Description: Verrucomicrobia bacterium partial 16S ribosomal RNA
Rfam family: Bacterial small subunit ribosomal RNA
Source: RNAcentral
UGAGGAAUAUUGGUCAAUGGGCGAGAGCCUGAACCAGCCAAGUAGCGUGCAGGAUGACGGCCCUAUGGGUUGUAAACUGCUUUUAUAUGGGAAUAAAGUGAGGGACGUGUCCCUUAUUGCAUGUACCAUACGAAUAAGGACCGGCUAAUUCCGUGCCAGCAGCCGCGGUAAUACGGAAGGUCCAGGCGUUAUCCGGACUUAUUGGGUUUAAAGGGGGCGUAGGCUGUUUGUUAAGCGUGUUGUGAAAUGUAAGAGCUCAACUUUUAGAUUGCAGCGCGAACUGGCAGACUUGAGUGCGCACAACGUAGGCGGAAUUCAUGGUGUAGCGGUGAAAUGCUUAGAUAUCAUGACGAAAUCCGAUUGCGAAGGCAGCUUACGGGGGCGCAACUGACGCUAAAGCUCGAAGGUGCGGGUAUCGAACAGG